UACAGAGGUCCCAAGCGUUGUUCGGAUUCACUGGGCGUAAAGGGUGCGUAGGCGGUUUGAUAAGUCUGAUGUGAACUCCCGCAGCUUAAUUCCGGCACUGCAUUGGAAACUAUUUGACUAGAGGAAUGGAGGGGAGACUGGAAUACUUGGUGUAGCAGUGAAAUGCGUAGAUAUCAAGUGGAACACCAGUGGCGAAGGCGAGUCUCUGGACAUUUCCUGACGCUGAGGCACGAAAGCCAGGGGAGCAAACGGG
Molecule: ribosomal RNA, 253 nt
Filed under: uncultured bacterium
Lineage: Bacteria
Description: partial 16S ribosomal RNA
Rfam family: Bacterial small subunit ribosomal RNA
Source: RNAcentral